UUACUUACCUGGCAGGAGCAAUUCCAUGAUCAAGAAGGUGGUUCACCCAAGGCGAGGCUCAGCGAUUGCACUCAGGCUGUGCUGGCCUUUGCGAAUUCCCCAAAUGUGGGACUCUCUAUUGCAUAAUUUCUGAUAAUUACCUCUGACUUUAACAGUCAGAGGUAA
Molecule: small nuclear RNA, 165 nt
Organism: Ictalurus furcatus (blue catfish)
Lineage: Eukaryota; Metazoa; Chordata; Actinopteri; Siluriformes; Ictaluridae
Product: U1 spliceosomal RNA
Exons: 1
Source: RefSeq, a predicted model, not a curated record